ACCUGCGGAGGGAUCAUUACUGAGUGAGGGCCUUCGGGCUCGACCUCCAACCCUUUGUGAACACAACUUGUUGCUUCGGGGGCGACCCUGCCGUUUCGACGGCGAGCGCCCCCGGAGGCCUUCAAACACUGCAUCUUUGCGUCGGAGUUUAAGUAAAUUAAACAAAACUUUCAACAACGGAUCUCUUGGUUCUGGCAUCGAUGAAGAACGCAGCGAAAUGCGAUAAGUAAUGUGAAUUGCAGAAUUCAGUGAAUCAUCGAAUCUUUGAACGCACAUUGCGCCCCUUGGUAUUCCGAGGGGCAUGCCUGUUCGAGCGUCAUUUCACCACUCAAGCCUCGCUUGGUAUUGGGCGCCGCGGUGUUCCGCGCGCCUCAAAGUCUCCGGCUGAGCUGUCCGUCUCUAAGCGUUGUGAUUUCAUUAAUCGCUUCGGAGCGCGGGCGGUCGCGGCCGUUAAAUCUUUCACAAGGUUGACCUCGGAUCAGGUAGGGAUACCCGCUGAACUUAAGCAUAUCAAA
This 515-nucleotide ribosomal RNA is filed under the name Cercospora sp. CMT59. RNAcentral's name for it is "eukaryotic LSU rRNA". The stretch from base 166 to 319 matches the Rfam family "5.8S ribosomal RNA". Lineage: Eukaryota; Fungi; Ascomycota; Dothideomycetes; Mycosphaerellales; Mycosphaerellaceae. The record is from RNAcentral.